This is a long non-coding RNA of Oncorhynchus tshawytscha (Chinook salmon), 553 nucleotides long. The record is from Ensembl. Lineage: Eukaryota; Metazoa; Chordata; Actinopteri; Salmoniformes; Salmonidae.
GUGUCACUACAGAUCCUGGAUCUGAUUCCAGGCUGUAUGACAGCGGUCUAAGGCACUGCAACUCAGUGCUAGAGGUGUCACUACAGAUCCUGGAUCUGAUUCCAGGCUGUAUGACAGCGGUCUAAGGCACUGCAACUCAGUGCUAGAGGUGUCACUACAGAUCCUGGAUCUGAUUCCAGUCUGUAUCACAGCCGGCCGUGAUUGGGAGUCCCCAUUGGGCGCCGCGUCGUCCGGGUUAGUGUUUGGCCCGGGGGUAGGCCGUCAUCGUAAAUAAGAAUUUGUUCUUAACUGACUUGCGUAGUUAAAAGUUAAAUAAAUAAAAUAGAAAAUACAAAGGAUUGGAAAGGGAGGGAGUAAAUACUCCUAGACUCAUGUUACUGAUUUAGGACUGUCUAUCCGGAAAAUAUUGUAUUUGCUUGAGUAAUCUCCUACCUUGAGUGAUAUUCUUACUGACCCCCACUAAUGCAUGACCUAGACUAAAACAAGCUCGGACUAAACUAAGCCAACACUGAAAUAAAAUCAACAGAAAUAUGACGUUACUUUUACAAAGGUG